GUGGGAGGGGGCUUGCCCCCGAUGACGGAGUGUCAGUGAAUACAUCAGUGACUGACCCACCAUAAUCGGGGGCAAGCCCCCUCCCAC
RNAcentral lists this unclassified non-coding RNA (87 nucleotides) under Pseudomonas libanensis. Lineage: Bacteria; Pseudomonadati; Pseudomonadota; Gammaproteobacteria; Pseudomonadales; Pseudomonadaceae. The record is from RNAcentral.